GAAUCUUCCGCAAUGGACGAAAGUCUGACGGAGCGACGCCGCGUGUGUGAAGAAGGUCUUCGGAUUGUAAAGCACUUUAAGUUGGGAGGAAGGGCAGUAAGCGAAUACCUUGCUGUUUUGACGUUACCGACCGAAUAAGCACCGGCUAACUCUGUGCCAGCAGCCGCGGAAAUCCAGAGGGUGAAAGCGUUAAUCGGAAUUACUGGGCGUAAAGCGCGCGUAGGUGGUUCGUUAAGUUGGACGUGAAAUCCCCGGGCUCAACCUGGGAACUGCAUCCAAAACUGGCGAGCUAGAGUAGGGCAGAGGGUGGUGGAAUUUCCUGUGUAGCGGUGAAAUGCGUAGAUAUAGGAAGGAACACCAGUGGCGAAGGCGACCACCUGGGCUCAUACUGACACUGAGGUGCGAAAGCGUGGGGAGCAAACA
This 423-nucleotide ribosomal RNA is filed under the name uncultured bacterium. Its description in RNAcentral is "partial 16S ribosomal RNA". It matches the Rfam family "Bacterial small subunit ribosomal RNA", at positions 359 to 774 of the family's 1533-position model. The record is from RNAcentral.